RNAcentral lists this ribosomal RNA (253 nucleotides) under uncultured bacterium. RNAcentral describes it as "partial 16S ribosomal RNA". It matches the Rfam family "Bacterial small subunit ribosomal RNA", at positions 524 to 776 of the family's 1533-position model. The record is from RNAcentral.
UACAGAGGUCUCAACCGUUGUUCGGAUUUAUUGGGCGUAAAGGGUGCGUAGGCGGCGGGGCAAGUCAGGUGUGAAAUCUCGGGGCUCAACCCCGAAACUGCACUUGAUACUGCCUUGCUAGAGUACUGGAGAGGAGACUGGAAUUUACGGUGUAGCAGUGAACUGCGUAGAUAUCGUAAGGAAGACCAGUGGCGAAGGCGAGUCUCUGGACAGUUAUCGACGCUGAGGCACGAAGGCUAGGGGAGCAAACGGG